AUUGAACGCUGGCGGCAUGCUUUACACAUGCAAGUCGAACGGCAGCGCGGGCUUCGGCCUGGCGGCGAGUGGCGAACGGGUGAGUAAUGCAUCGGAACGUGCCCAGUAGUGGGGGAUAGCCCGGCGAAAGCCGGAUUAAUACCGCAUACGACCUGAGGGUGAAAGCGGGGGACCGAAAGGCCUCGCGCUAUUGGAGCGGCCGAUGUCGGAUUAGCUAGUUGGUGGGGUAAAGGCUUACCAAGGCGACGAUCCGUAGCUGGUCUGAGAGGACGACCAGCCACACUGGGACUGAGACACGGCCCAGACUCCUACGGGAGGCAGCAGUGGGGAAUUGUGGACAAAGGGGGCAACCCUGAUCCAGCCAUGCCGCGUGCGGGAAGAAGGCCUUCGGGUUGUAAACCGCUUUUGUUCGGGAAGAAAUCCUCUGGGCUAAUACCCCGGGGGGAUGACGGUACCGGAAGAAUAAGCACCGGCUAACUACGUG
Molecule: ribosomal RNA, 484 nt
Filed under: uncultured bacterium
Lineage: Bacteria
Description: partial 16S ribosomal RNA
Rfam family: Bacterial small subunit ribosomal RNA
Source: RNAcentral